CCUACGGGAGGCAGCAGUGAGGAAUAUUGGUCAAUGGGCGCGAGCCUGAACCAGCCAAGUAGCGUGAAGGAUGACUGCCCUACGGGUUGUAAACUUCUUUUAUAAAGGAAUAAAGUGAGGCACGUGUGCCUUUUUGUAUGUACUUUAUGAAUAAGGAUCGGCUAACUCCGUGCCAGCGGCCGCGGUAAUACGGGGGAUGCGAGCGUUAUCCGGAUUUAUUGGGUUUAACGGGUGCGCAGGCGGAUUUUUAAGUCAGCGGUAAAAUCGUGGGGCUCAACCCCGUCCAGCCGUGGAAACUGGGGAUAUAGAGUGUGCGAGAGGUAUGCGGAAUGCGUGGUGGAGCGGUGAAAUGCGUAGAUAUCACGCAGAACCCCGAUUGCGAAGGCAGCAUACCGGUGCACAACUGACGCUCAGGCACGAAAGCGUGGGGAGCGAACAGGAUUAGAUACCCUAGUAGUC
RNAcentral lists this ribosomal RNA (459 nucleotides) under uncultured bacterium. RNAcentral describes it as "partial 16S ribosomal RNA". It matches the Rfam family "Bacterial small subunit ribosomal RNA", at positions 338 to 795 of the family's 1533-position model. The record is from RNAcentral.